UGGGGGAAUUUUGGACAAUGGGCGAAAGCCUGAUCCAACAAUGCCGCGUGUGUGAAGAAGGCCUUCGGGUUGUAAAGCACUUUUGUCCGGAAAGAAAUCCUUGGCUCUAAUACAGUCGGGGGAUGACGGUACCGGAAGAAUAAGCACCGGCUAACUACGUGCCAGCAGCCGCGGUAAUACGUAGGGUGCAAGCGUUAAUCGGAAUUACUGGGCGUAAAGCGUGCGCAGGCGGUUUGCUAAGACCGAUGUGAAAUCCCCGGGCUCAACCUGGGAACUGCAUUGGUGACUGGCAGGCUAGAGUAUGGCAGAGGGGGGUAGAAUUCCACGUGUAGCAGUGAAAUGCGUAGAGAUGUGGAGGAAUACCGAUGGCGAAGGCAGCCCCCUGGGCCAAUACUGACGCUCAUGCACGAAAGCGUGGGGAGCAAACAGGAUUAGAUACCCUGGUAGUCCACGCCCUAAACGAUGUCAACUAGUUGUUGGGGAUUCAUUUCCUUAGUAACGUAGCUAACGCGUGAAGUUGACCGCCUGGGGAGUACGGUCGCAAGAUUAAAACUUAAAGGAAUUGACGGGGUCAUAGCUGUUUCCU
This 586-nucleotide ribosomal RNA is filed under the name uncultured bacterium. Its description in RNAcentral is "partial 16S ribosomal RNA". It matches the Rfam family "Bacterial small subunit ribosomal RNA", at positions 354 to 1375 of the family's 1533-position model. The record is from RNAcentral.